AUGGCGGCCACCACCAAAAGAGAGUGCGUGCUUUGCAAGUUUGUGCAUGGACGUGGACCAUUCAUCAUUGACACCCACAUGCUCAUGCCGACAUUUGCCUUGAAUGCUUCCACAUUGCAGGUGAUGCCGAGACCGCGAGGAUGUACCCAAGUCUGCCCUUGGAAACUGCGUGAAGGGUAUUGCACUAGUUGCCGCCUCACCGGGAGCAACUUCCCACUAUAUAUCAAAAUGGAGCAUAUUUUUGUUGAGAUAUGCUUUUGGGACCAGAGGCAAGUCUUGACUGCUUGUUCACUGUUUCAGAAUGCCCCUAACUUAAAGAAGCUUGGCAUGCGGAGUUGCGUUUCGAGCACAUGGGAUCAGGAUCAGGAUCAGGCGAACAUUCAAGAGCUUACCGUGCAAUUGCAAAUGGACCAUCUCGUAACGGCCAGUAUGGAAGGUUUUGCGGGUCUGGACUAUGAAGUUGAUUUCGUCGCAAAGCUACUGAGCUGGGCACCAGCUUUGGAAGAAUUGGAGAUAGAAUGGGAGGGCGAAACAGACUGCAGCAGGGUUCUUGCGAAGCUAUUAGCUCUGCCGAGGGUAUCUCCCAGGGCCAAGGUCAUUGUUACAUUUUGA
RNAcentral lists this ribosomal RNA (612 nucleotides) under Triticum aestivum (bread wheat). RNAcentral's name for it is "partial small subunit ribosomal RNA". Lineage: Eukaryota; Viridiplantae; Streptophyta; Magnoliopsida; Poales; Poaceae. The record is from RNAcentral.